UACGUAGGGUGCGAGCGUUGUCCGGAAUUAUUGGGCGUAAAGAGCUUGUAGGCGGUUUGUCGCGUCUGCUGUGACAAUCCGGGGCUCAACCCCGGACUUGCAGUGGGUACGGGCAGACUAGAGUGUGGUAGGGGAGACUGGAAUUCCUGGUGUAGCGGUGAAAUGCGCAGAUAUCAGGAGGAACACCGAUGGCGAAGGCAGGUCUCUGGGCCACUACUGACGCUGAGAAGCGAAAGCAUGGGGAGCGAACAGG
This 253-nucleotide ribosomal RNA is filed under the name uncultured bacterium. RNAcentral's name for it is "partial 16S ribosomal RNA". It matches the Rfam family "Bacterial small subunit ribosomal RNA", at positions 524 to 776 of the family's 1533-position model. The record is from RNAcentral.